RNAcentral lists this unclassified non-coding RNA (269 nucleotides) under Alternaria infectoria. RNAcentral's name for it is "partial internal transcribed spacer region". The stretch from base 1 to 46 matches the Rfam family "Eukaryotic small subunit ribosomal RNA", at positions 1786 to 1831 of the family's 1831-position model. The record is from RNAcentral. Lineage: Eukaryota; Fungi; Ascomycota; Dothideomycetes; Pleosporales; Pleosporaceae.
AAGUCGUAACAAGGUCUCCGUAGGUGAACCUGCGGAGGGAUCAUUACACAAUAACCAGGCGGGCUGGACACCCCCCGCUGGGCACUGCUUCACGGCGUGCGCGGCGGGGCCGGCCCUGCUGAAUUAUUCACCCGUGUCUUUUGCGUACUUCUUGUUUCCUGGGUGGGCUCGCCCGCCCUCAGGACCAACCACAAACCUUUUGCAAUAGCAAUCAGCGUCAGUAAUAACGUAAUUAAUUACAACUUUCAACAACGGAUCUCUUGGUUCUG